AGCUUUGCACAGUGGCAGUAUCAUAGCCAAUGAGGUUUAUCCGAGGCGUGAUUAUUGCUAAUAAACCUUAAAAUAUUUUUUAUUUGUGGUAUUUUGGAAUGUCUUGUCUUUACUUUCAGAGGGAUAUGGAAUGU
Non-coding RNA from Canis lupus familiaris (dog), 134 nucleotides. The record is from Rfam. Lineage: Eukaryota; Metazoa; Chordata; Mammalia; Carnivora; Canidae.